GUCAUCUAAGCGAAUCUUUCUCCUCUCCUUAUCCUCACGGAAUCAACGGCUUUUCACUCGUUGUGUUUAACACUGAACAGAAAUAAAGGGAGCAAGACGCUCUGAAUCCUGGCUCAAGUGUUCUAUACAUGAGUUUGGCUGGCUGAUGAACUGUGACAACGUACACGAAGUACAUAACGCACAGGGGGAUCACCACAGGCACC
Molecule: long non-coding RNA, 203 nt
Organism: Syngnathus acus (greater pipefish)
Lineage: Eukaryota; Metazoa; Chordata; Actinopteri; Syngnathiformes; Syngnathidae
Exons: 3
Source: RefSeq, a predicted model, not a curated record